This 449-nucleotide long non-coding RNA is filed under the name Ananas comosus (pineapple). Its description in RNAcentral is "long non-coding RNA (ACOM_LNC005683)". The record is from RNAcentral. Lineage: Eukaryota; Viridiplantae; Streptophyta; Magnoliopsida; Poales; Bromeliaceae.
CCUUACUGUGGUAAUAACACACACUAGCACUACGUUCAUGUUAAAUAUAUUGGAUGUGGCCCACGUAAUUUAUUUAAGUCGAUCUAUAAAGAUACAGUCGGUCUAUUCAAAUCAAUUUAUAAACAUAUGAUAGAUCUAACGAUUAGAAUGUAUUUGGACACAUCCUUAAACGUCCUUAAUAGAUAAACGUGAUUUAACAUUCUUACACCAAAAUUAUUUAUAAAUAUGUAACAUACGAGAGCCCCGGUCUAAUCCUAAUCCUAAUUUCUAUGACGGCUCCAUCUUCGAGGAUAAGGAAAUUAUACUCAAAACGUCCCGCUUUUUGUUAAUCGUGAAUGAGGACAAACCACAAUAAAAAACUCACUGUCUACAAUUUAAAUUUAGAAAUCGAAAUUAUGACAGAGGGUGCGAUCUUAAUAUAUAAUAAAAUUUUAAUAUGUGCUAUUAGA